AAUCUCCCGUUGGUCUCUCUCAACCUGCGCUGGAGUUUAGCGAGGUCUUCCCGAUCUCUCUCCACUCUGGUCCGGAGCUCUCCCAUUACGUGACCGAUGUUCUGCGUCUAACUUUGAGGUGAAGUGAAUUUAGCAGGCAGUGGAGAAAAUUGCACAAGAAAAAGUCGGUAACGUAUGAAUGCUCAAAGCAGAAUGAGAAUAACAAACGUAAGGUAUGCAGUAUUCUUUAUUCUGAUCGGAGUACUCUCGGGAUACAUCCUGUGUCUCAUGCAAAACGACUGGAAAACCGCCACUGUCCCUCUACAUCAGGAAAACACUGAUGAAGUGCAACGUUACAUCUUUCAAGAUGAUCAUGUUCGGUCUAGACUUCCACAGGGGCUACAGAACAAAGAUGGGCCGAGGAAAAUACUUCUGGACUGUGGAGCUAACGUUGCUUCUACUGUACAGUUAUUUCGGGAGACUUACCCUGGUGGAACAGACUACAUUAUCCACUCGUUCGAGCUGGAUGCGAGGCUGGCACCCUACUUUGCGUCCUACUCCAACCAUGUCCUCCACUGUCCAGUUGCCGUGGCCGGGCAAGAUGGAAACAUGACUGCCUACGGCGAGUCGGCAUGGAGUCCCGACAAAGGUCUUGUCAAUGGUUACGACCGGAUGUGGGGAGGUGCGACGAUCUACGCCGAUGAUUCGGAGAUAGAUGAUGAAAAAUCCGGCAGAAAACUGGGAGUACGCAACGUCAGACCUACGUUGGAUCUGUCCACGUGGAUACAGGAAAACACCGCACCGGAAGACUACGUUAUUUUCAAACUUGAUGUAGAGGGAGCAGAGUACGACAUCUUGGAGAAGAUGAUCAGAGAAGGCACCUUCGAGUGGAUAGACAAGUUUUAUGGUGAGUUCCACAGCUUCCUUACUGUACCGGGUUGGCCGAAAGAAAGAAGACAAGAACUUAAGUCUACUCUGGCCAGCCAUGGCAUCAGACAGAUUGACUGGGCAGCGCAGGACAAAAGAUACAGAGACAUGGAACGCCUUCAGAGAUCAGACGUCCCAGAUGACGCCCCUGGAGCUGCUGGGGACGUCUACUCCAACUGUUCCCGCUCUCCUGGCGGUCCGGCCCGCUUGGCCCUGACGGUUCAGGUCGGGAUGAACAGGAAGGCAGCCCACAAACUAGUGGAGACGAUCCGGGCGCACUCCAGCAACAUGCCGGUCACACUCUUCGUCUACGGGGACUUCGUGCAGGAGUUCCCGGACCUGGUCACCAAGUGGGCCGACAGAUAUACGAUAGGGAUACGAGAGGGCGCACCGUUUCCGGCAGGUCACUGGGUUCUGCAGAACACCGAAGUGAUGCGGAUGAGCAUGAUGUCGGCUGUACAGCGGAUGAGGGAAGUCGGGCUACAACCAGCCUACUACUGUCCUGAUGGUCUGUCGAAACGGGUGAUUGAUAUAGCGAAGGCAAGAGGGUUGAGGCUCAUUCAGCCAACAGCAUCCUUUCCUCCAAAUGUUGGAACACUGUUGACAGAAGACAACUACUAUCAGUACAAUGACGUGUUUAGGACCCCCAAGGCGCUCCGUAUCCUGUAUGAGCGCAUCUCUAACGGGGGGAUCCUCAGUCUAAACAGUGACCAUCCUGACAGUUACAUGAUCUCUGUUUAUCUCAUGGACUAUCUGUACGAAAACUCCGGCUUUGAACUUGUCGGUGUAGACACCUGUAUAAAACCAUAGAUUCAGCCUUUAAGACAUGAAUAGUACGUAAAGAGGCAAGUUUAUAGUGUUACAUUUACAUGGGUAAAUAGUGUUCUUUUCUAUGACCGAUCGCUUUGUCCUUUGCAUUGUACAUGGACAAAUUGUAGCACUCUUUAUGAAUAUAUAUACAUGACUGUUUAACUAUCAUGUAUUCAGGUAUCAGCAUAAGAAUUGAAUAUUGAAAAAUGCAUGCUGAAGGACAGUGAUACAAUGCGAUAGCUUUCAAGACCUUACCAUUAUACCAAUUUGUGGCAGCAAUGUAGAAGAAUAUCUUAUGUGAGUCUGUAGAAGGAUAUCUUAUGCGAGUCAAUAGUUAUAUUUUGCUAGAACACGAAAAUUACAAGAACCGCUGUAGCAACUAAGUAUACGGAUUACUGUUUUAGGAAUUACUGAUGUAGAUAUUUUACGUGUCGUUAGCAGCGAUGCCUAGAUUCAGUACGAAACCAGUCAGUAUUGCCCCGAGGAAGGUUGCAGAAAGUUACAGAAACGUUGGCUUCUAAACAACUAAAACAUUACUUGUCGCGUUUUUUUUUUGGAGAAAAUAACCUAGACGAUAUAUUUGCGAAUCUUAUGUUCGUAAAGCCUAGUUCUCUUUCUUCUUUAUUUCUUUUAUGUGGAAAACCUGGAGAUUAAGUACAUACAGAGUGGGCGAAACCUUCCCAGUACAUGCCAGUAAAGUAUGUUAUAUUAUACUAUAGAGGAGUGAAGGUCGCGAACGUACCCUCAAAUGCUUACUGUUCUAUCAACUUUACGUAAGUCUAAGAAAACGCAUGUCAUACAAAUUCUGCACGGUCUUUGGACUGGUCUUUCGGGCCUCCAACUGUUAGCCGACGAUCAAUCCAUUAUCUGACGGGAAGACAUUAAAAACAAGAAUUUUCAAAACUGAUUAAACAAGAAUAGGGUCUUUCAUAUGAUAGUUCACCUUAAACUGUCCCAAUUUCACCCAAAUAUCCUACCAAUGUCGCUAGCACUAAGAAAUGGCUUUCAUAUUUGUUCUCACCGUGGUUAACUGUCGAGUCCCCCAGAUAAAGUGCAACUUCACAUUGAAUGCAGAAAAAACUACAAUAAAAUAUGCAUUAUCGUCCAAUGGACAACUCGCCUUUACCCUUACUGGGCAUGUCCUUUAUAUCAAUUUACAAAAAAUUAACAAUACACCGAUCCGAAGUGAUAUAAAUUUCUGAGUGUGACAAGUUAUCCUACACCAUUCGCAAGGUCAGAAAGUGUCCACCCAUGCGCUCUGUGCUAUAAGGAAUGGGAUUUGGUAGUACGAAAUAUCAAAGGAAUAGAGAGCAAAACUUGAACGUUUCUCUUCGUUUUUAUGCGUUUACGUAUUUCAGAUUUCAAAUCCUGAAAUACGCAUACGCAAUGUCAAAGGUGAAGGCCCCAAACGUUUAAUGCAAGUGAUCUUGUUGUGUAUAGACCAUGGUUACUAGUAUUCCAUGCGUACUUCAAAUUGUGAACCGACUUGUGGCCCGCGCAAAAAGCAAGGCAGCUAAAUCCCUACUGAUGACUUAGCUGUGAAUCGGGCUUGACCCUAGCAAGUUGCAGUCAAAUUUUACCUUAAGAUGAGGGUUUAGAAACAUUGUAAGAUAGGAUAAUCCCCCCACCAGCUUCUCUAACAACUGCUGAUGACAAGCAACAUUAAUCGUUUUCUGAGUUUUAAAAAACACGGCGCAACUCGAAAAUAAAAGCGACACCCUUCAGCUUUUUGUAAAUUGCAGUGGUUACGAAGUGCUCCCCACAUGUACAGCAUUACUUAGUGCUUUAUUAUCUAGAUUAUCACAUCAUCAAAUUCUUUAAUCAUACAUUCCAUACAAAUGAUUAUAUAUAGUUAAGUAUCUCAUUGACAUAACACCAUUGCAAGGUGGAAUAAUUUCAUUCUUCUAUCAAUUAUUGGCAAUCAAUUAUAUAAAACAAUAAGGCAACUUCAUCAUCUUUAUGAUUGACACCUUUAAGUACACACUAAAUUAUAUUUCUGUCUUACCUAACAAUCGAGUCCCAUAUUCACUACACAACAAAUAAUAAACAUGAAGGCAGUUCUAUGUUCUUGCAUUCCAUACAGCCAAACGGUACCUGCACAAGUGACAAUCUUAAGACUUCAACCUGAGGACCACCAGACCAUUGCGACCACUUUUUGGCAGUCUCUAAGCUUGUUUCCAUUGACACAAACUCUGAAGAAUCUAUUCUUCUGUGACCACUUGUCUACAUAGAACAGAGAAAUUUCAAAAGUCCUCAGAGUGGCCAUCUUGGGCAGUUUUAACAAGGAACUUUGGACUUGACAGGACUGGACAAGCUCAACAUAUACAUCAUACAUGUAUAAGUUGCAAAGUCAGUAUUGUAAUAUACAACAUACAUAUUCUGACAGCAAGAUUUAGUGGCAAUGAGGCAAGGAAUCUUGUAUUGCAAGGAUAUACGUUUGUACCUUUGGAAUAACACAACCAAACUUGUGUAAUCCAAAUUAGUUUAUACUAUGGGUCCUUCAAUACAUGUACAUGUAGUUCAUAUCAAACUUAUGAUGGUGACUUGUUGCAUAAUUCUUUUGUUAUGAUUUUAAUAAUCUUGUCUGUCAAUGCAGACACAACUGGCUUAUAAAACCGAAAGUCAUCAGAUCGUCUUUGCAAUUUUUUACCCUUAAAGUUCUGUAACUGAAUGACAAAAGGACGGAAUCUUGGAAAGAAUGGCAAGUUUAUAUUCUGAAGAUAAGCCUAUGAGUGCGAAAUCCUACUGUUGUAAAAUAUUGUUGAUACACAAAAAGGUUGCUCAAAACAUUUAAGGUGUAAAUGGAACCAUCAAAACAUCAGAAAGAUUUUAAGGUAUAGUGUUUUACCAAUCUUUUUUAUACAUACUUUAAGUAGUACCAAUGAUUAUAAAGGCAAGAAAGUAUGCACCAAAUCAACUCUAUAAUUUAAGCAUCAAAGUACCAAAACUAUACCAUACACUGUGCAUCUAAGCUUUGCUUACAAUAAUUUUUCAAGUAAAGAUCAGAAAAUUACACCAUAAUAUCUUGGGUUAUAUCAUUAUGAUUGUAUGGCUUAUCCCACAAUACUGCCAUUGAUGAACAUAGUCAUUAUCCUAUGAUAAUUGCUCAUUGUAUCUUAAUAUGUAACAGCACGUAGACUUUUUGAUCAACUUGUCAUGCAACUUCUUUUUUUGUGUGUCUUGAAUUCUUUGAGUAUAAAGAAAAUUAUG
Molecule: RNA transcript, 4926 nt
Organism: Branchiostoma floridae (Florida lancelet)
Lineage: Eukaryota; Metazoa; Chordata; Leptocardii; Amphioxiformes; Branchiostomatidae
Exons: 11
Source: RefSeq, a predicted model, not a curated record